Molecule: transfer RNA, 73 nt
Filed under: Candidatus Parcubacteria bacterium
Lineage: Bacteria; Candidatus Parcubacteria
Description: tRNA-Lys
Rfam family: tRNA
About the family: Transfer RNA (tRNA) molecules are approximately 80 nucleotides in length. Their secondary structure includes four short double-helical elements and three loops (D, anti-codon, and T loops).
Source: RNAcentral
GCCCCCAUAGCUCAAUCGGUAGAGCAACGGCCUUUUAAGCCGGUGGUUGGAGGUUCGAGUCCUCCUGGGGGCA